RNAcentral lists this long non-coding RNA (1421 nucleotides) under Sus scrofa (pig). RNAcentral's name for it is "lncRNA (ENSSSCG00025062935.1, ENSSSCG00055001180.1)". The record is from RNAcentral. Lineage: Eukaryota; Metazoa; Chordata; Mammalia; Artiodactyla; Suidae.
GCGACUCCAGCUCCAGACCGCGAGAGGGCGCCUUGCUUCUCACCAGCGGCCGCCACCAGUCUGCGACGACUGGACCUGCCCCCACCGCGGCGCGAUUUCGCUGGAGUUCGGGUACUGAGCGCCUGUCCCCCCCAGAGCCAGUCAGCGAAGAGCCCCGCGCCACCACUCCAGGAUAGAGGAAAGAAUCACCAUUGCCAAGAAUGGAUUGAAGUUUCUGGUGGCAAGCCCAACAAGUAGGUAAGUUUUCCCCCUUUGUAAUAGACUGAGAAAUGCAGGUAAGAAUGUUUCUUUCCAACAAAAAGAGAGAGAGAAUAAGGUAAGAAGUAACAGUGGGGAAAGGUAUACAGGCCUGAUCCUGAGGUCUUAGGAAAGCUGUUUCUUUCAGCUAUCUUCUGUUUCAAUUCUUGGUGAAUCUGACUCUGAAGUCUCCAGUGCUUGCAUAGGGCUAGAUGCCAGGUGGAGCUUUCUUUAGCUAUAAGAUGUGUACCUAGGGCUUGAGUUUCUGAGGUUUUGCUGCUAUCUGGGUAAAGUGAGGAGGACCUGGUUUAGUCCCUUCCAAGGAAAUUUAAGGGCAGUCUUUGUUUUUAUUGAUUCCAAAUCAAAAGGGUUGGAGAAAAUUGGAAACAUUUAGUUCAGAAAUAUUUUUUUAGUCAGAUAUUUGAGGAAAUGAGAAGAGUUUUGUAUAUAGUCCACCUUAUAGGUAUAUAACAGAACCUUAAAGACAAGGAUGAGAACCUAAUAUCUGGAAGUUCCCACUGUGGCUCAGUGGAUUAAGAACCCCAUGCUGUCUCUCUGAGAAUGCAGGUUUGAUCCCUGGCCUCGCUUAGUGGGUUAAGGAUCCUUUGUUGCCGUGGCUGUGGUGUAGGCCUGCAGCCGCAGCUCUGAUUCAGCCCAUAGCCUGGGACCUUCAGUAUGCUGUAGGUAUGGCCAUAAAAAGAAAGAAAAAAAGAACCUAGUAUCUGCAAAGGUGCAAAAAUAAUUUCUCUCUCCAUAAUUAAAUCAAAGGCCAUUAUAGUAAAACUAAUUUGUAUUAAAAUGGUCUGAUUAUUUACAUAAAUGCAGCAAGAAUAAUGAUUUACCACAUAAGCUCUUUUUAAGAUUACUUUGCUGGAACUUUAUAAGCAAGGUAGUAAGCUAAUUUUUCCAAGCACUUCCUUAAAUUUUUUUGGUCUUAUCUGAUUCUAUGUAUAUUUCUCUCUAAUACGACGUUUUGGUCAAAUCCUUGGUAUUGUAGCUAGUAUAUCUGAUUGUGUCCUGUUUUGAGGAGAGGAGAACAUAUUGUUAUUGAACUCAUGCAAAUGACUAUAUUGUCAUAAAAAUAAGAAUACCCACUUACUUAGUCUCACUCAGAAUUUGAAGAGUUUUCAAAUUCUGGAGGGGUCAGACAGAGAGAAGAAAUAAAUGCUUCAUUAUGAUUUACA